GAAGUUGGCAAGCGUUGUUCGGAUUUACUGGGCGUACAGGGAGCGUAGGCGGUUCGGUAAGCCCUCUGUGAAAUCUCCAGGCUUAACCUGGAACAGUCGGAGGGGACUGCUGGGCUAGAGGACGGGAGAGGAGCGCGGAAUUCCCGGUGUAGCGGUGAAAUGCGUAGAGAUCGGGAGGAAGGCCGGUGGCGAAGGCGGCGCUCUGGAACGUUUCUGACGCUGAGGCUCGAAAGCGUGGGGAGCAAACAGGAUUAGAUACCCUGGUAGUCCACGCCUUAAACUAUGAAUACUAAGUGUCGGCGGUUUACCGCCGGUGCCGCAGCUAACGCAUUAAGUAUUCCGCCUGGGAAGUACGGCCGCAAGGUUG
This 367-nucleotide ribosomal RNA is filed under the name uncultured bacterium. Its description in RNAcentral is "bacterial SSU rRNA". It matches the Rfam family "Bacterial small subunit ribosomal RNA", at positions 527 to 896 of the family's 1533-position model. The record is from RNAcentral.